Molecule: ribosomal RNA, 557 nt
Filed under: uncultured fungus
Lineage: Eukaryota; Fungi
Description: eukaryotic LSU rRNA
Rfam family: Eukaryotic large subunit ribosomal RNA
Source: RNAcentral
CCCGCUGAACUUAAGCAUAUCAGUAAGCGGAGGAAAAGAAACUAACGAGGAUUCCCCCAGUAACGGCGAGUGAAGCGGGAACAGCCCAUGACGAAAGCUGGCUUUGCAAGGCAGCGGAUGUGUCGUGGAGCGGCAGGCAGACGGGCACGUAGCACGGCAUCGACCCUGGAAAGGGCGGGCACAGAGGGUGAGACCCCCGUGGGCGUGCGUAUGUGCUCGGCAGGCGGCCGCAGCGAGUCGGAUUGUUUGGGCAUGCAAUCCCAAGCAGGUGGUACGCGCCAUCUAAGGCUAAACAGGGGCAAGAGACCGAUAGCGAACAAGUACCGUGAGGGAAAGAUGAAAAGGACUCUGAAGAGAGAGUCAAAAGUGCGUGAAAUUGCGAAGAGGGAAACGAAGGGUGGGUGGGGAGAGAUCCAGGUGAGGCGAGCAGAGAUGUGAUAUAGCAUGAAGGGGCGUAGUUUGCAGUCUCGACUGUUUACACGUACAGCCUUGGUGUGAAACAUCUGUGCGCACUCUCACACCACAUCACUCACUCUUCGACCCGUCUUGAAACACGG